Xiphophorus couchianus (Monterrey platyfish) is the source of this 854-nucleotide non-coding RNA. NCBI's taxonomy places the organism in Eukaryota, Metazoa, Chordata, Actinopteri, Cyprinodontiformes, Poeciliidae. The record is from the annotation of a RefSeq genome assembly.
CCUUCAGCAGCAACCAGUUUCUCUCUGGCUCCUCCCACCACUGCUGAGCUCAGCCAAUGAGAAGGCUCGUCUCUAACAGCAGCUUGAUGAUGAUGAUGAAGGUCUGUUAGUCUUCCUUCUGCUGCAGUGGAUCAUCUCUGUAGAUCUGCUGUCUGUCCUGAACUCCUGGAACAUGUUGCUGUACCUCCUGCUCUUCUCUCUCUACAUCGCCAUGGGCUCCAUGAACACCGUCACACAGGAGCAGAGGGAACACGUCGCUUCAGAGGGAAGCCCCACCAGUUUGAGCUGCGGAUAUACUGGUUCUAUCUAUAAUGUCCAGUGGUACCGACAGCAGCACGGAUCCAGACCAGAGUUCCUGCUCUACAUCACAGAGUCGGGAUCGAUCCAUCCAACUCGCUCCGAUUUCUCAGCUCACAUCGAUAAAACUCAGAAACGAGGAACUCUGCUGAUCUCCUCUGCUGCAGUGACAGACUCUGCUGUGUACUACUGCGCUGUGGCGCCCACAGUGACAGGAAACACCAGAACCCUGUACAAAAACCUGCAGUACUCCACAGCAGCCACUAGAGGGCCUCACUGCCUGUUAAACCACUGAAACCUGCAGUACUCCACAGCAGCCACUAGAGGGCCUCACUGCCUGUUAAACCACUGAAACCUGCAGUUCUCCACAGCAGCCACUAGAGGGCCUCAGACUGCAUGAACCUGAGGUUUCUCUGUAGAAACUUACUGAACCUCAUGACAAAGCUGCUCCUGCUCCAGUUUGUCCAGCAGAUCUAAGUGAAUGGGAGGAACCGUUCUAAGCUGCAGGUUGAUGAGCGUCUGGACGUCCGCUGGUCCCAACAAGCUGCUGGAAACGU